This 443-nucleotide ribosomal RNA is filed under the name uncultured bacterium. RNAcentral describes it as "partial 16S ribosomal RNA". It matches the Rfam family "Bacterial small subunit ribosomal RNA", at positions 338 to 795 of the family's 1533-position model. The record is from RNAcentral.
CCUACGGGUGGCAGCAGUGGGGAAUAUUGCGCAAUGGGCGCAACCCUGACCCAGCAACGCCGCGUGGAGGAAGAAGGCUUUCGGGUUGUAAACUUCUUUUCUGAGGGACGAAGAAAGUGACGGUACCUCAGGAAUAAGCCACGGCUAACUACGUGCCAGCAGCCGCGGUAAUACGUAGGUGGCAAGCGUUAUCCGGCUUUAUUGGGUGUAAAGGGCGUGUAGGCGGGGAAGCAAGUCAGAUGUGAAAACUCAGGGCUCAACCCUGAGCCUGCAUUUGAAACUGUUAUUCUAGAGUGCUGGAGAGGCAAGCGGAAUUCCGUGUGUAGCGGUGAAAUGCGUAGAUAUACGGAGGAACACCAGUUGCGAAGGCGGAUUGCUGGACAGUAACUGACGCUGAGGCGCGAAAGCGUGGGGAGCAAACAGGAUUAGAUACCCCGGUAGUC